Non-coding RNA from Lactuca sativa (garden lettuce), 4093 nucleotides. NCBI's taxonomy places the organism in Eukaryota, Viridiplantae, Streptophyta, Magnoliopsida, Asterales, Asteraceae. The record is from RefSeq and is a predicted model, not a curated record.
AACACUUCUCGAUGUCUCCUCCAUCUUUUCCACCGCUCGCCUUCUCUGUUAGGUUUCCCUUAACCCUACACACUUUCGGGUCGUUGCACCUCGCUAUCACCUGUGUAUCGAGCUUUAAAGUGACCGAAGGUCAUGAAACAGAGGUUGAAGAAGCCACCGGUUUCUCCAUGUUUUCGUCGACACAGAGUCACCAUCCACUGCCUGCCGGUUACCUUCCGCCUACCAACGUCAUUCUGUCGGUCUUUACGACCUUCGUUUUGCUGAAAAUGGACUCGACAAUCGACCAGUGUUCGACUUCGAUCGUGUAUACUCGACUGUCUAAAAUCGACCUGCGGUCACAUCACUUCUCUAAAACUAAACAACGACGCCCUGGUAAGCGGUAAUUUAUCGUUUUCCUGCCCUGAUUCGUCAUACUCUAUCCUUUAUUCUGCCCUAAUUCGUCAUAUGUGAUGUUGUUGGUAGUUCAUAGUCAAACGAUAGUAGUAGCACUGUUAACAUGCCGAUUAGGUCAUUCUUUGCACGUCUGAAACAUGUCUUACUGAGUUACUACGAAAGGGGGCAACUUGGGUUCCUUUACCCCCCCAUUUCUAAGGUUACAUAGCUUUAAAAUUUCGAUACCUUCAUCAAACUGCUCGAAUUUUUUUUUCAAGUCAAUCCUUUGUUCGAUUUUGGUACGCUUUUGCAUUUACUAACAGAUUGGAUUUGGAAUUUGGAAAUUAUCUGAUUUUGAGUAUUUGUGUAAUAGGAUCAAGUAAUAAGCUGAAAAGAACUGUAUGAGAUAGUGUUUGGAUAUAACAUCCAAAACCGAUUGUGUGAAACUCAAUUUUAGUUCACUUUUGUUGUUUCCCAGGACAUUGAAACACCUCAUUGUUUAUAUGAAGUGCAUGUGUUGUAGCUUAUCUUUUGUUUCUCAAUUCAUGAAAAAAUUAAAGUUGAAAAACGGACCUUUUUUAAUCAUUUAGGAGUGUUUGGAUGUGCAAUUGCACCAUUUUAGCUCCUUCGAUGAUCACAAUAUCCAGAGAUUGGGUAAAAGUAUAAUCAUUAUGUUGGCACCAUUUAGUGUGAGUGCUUAUUCUGAUAAGUUCACAAUACUUACAGAAAAGCAUGCAAUCCCAUUCCCAAAUCCUUUUGAUAAUAAAGGGAAACUAUGUUAUAAGGUAAUUAAUUACUUUCUUUUUUUCAUUAAUUACCAAUUUGACGUUGCUUACAUGUUGCAAAAGUUAUGAUGAACAUUAACCUUGUAUUUCGAAUGGAUGAACUAUGUAUGGAUUUUACUAAACUGAUAAACUAUUCGAUUCAGUUUAAGCCAAUUUGUGAGUAGGUUAGGACAGAAAGCUGAAGUAUACCCUGUUUUGCAGCUAAAGAGGUAAUUGUAACAAGCUUCAUAUUCAUUCAGAUCAAAUGUUUUAAAUAAGCAUCUUCAUCAUUAGAAAUCUUUUAAGUUCGUCAUUAGAAAUCUUAUAUGAUAGCUUUUGGUUGUUGUAAUUAAGUCUUGAGAAUUGGUUUACGCUUUAUAUAUCUUUUUGAUAUAUUUGUUUUGUGAUUUUUGUUUUAUUUGACAAUAGAUAAUAUGAGUUUUCCUUUUAUAUUAUAUGGUUUGUGUAAGAGCUAGCAUCAAUUUUUGGAUUUUUUUUUCCAGUUGACAAAAGCUGUUUACUUUCAGUUGAUGCAAUUUUCUUUAGCUAGGGCACACAUUAUUUUUUUUAAGUUGAGCAUUACAUUUUCAACUUUUUCUGAACACAGUUUCACGUCAAACUUUAGACGAUAAUAUGUUUUGAUUUAUGUGACAUUUGUUCUUCUGAUUAAAAGGUAUUCUUUUGUAUUUUGAUUCAUUUAUUUAUAUCAUUUGGUACACUAAAGUAUUAAGUUUGUGGAUGGUUUUUAGAUUGAUAUUAGUUUUUUAGAUCAUCUUCAUCUGCUGUUAAAAAGUAGAAACUGAAAUUUGUUUUCAAUUUCAAUGGAGUAUUCGACAAUGACUGGUGAGUUUAAUAACUUAUAAGUAGAAACUGAAAUUUGUUUUUCACACUGUACACAAAAUAAAUAAAGUAGUAAAUGACCAUGUUACCCUCGCAUGUGAAGCAGAGGCUGGUUUAGGAAGGUGUUGAAACGAAAUUUACUAAUAGACACCACAGCUCCUCUUCAUGUGAGCUCUUCAUGGGUAUAUGAUAACGUCAAUUUUUCCUUCCUUUUUUUAUUAAAAAAAAUCCCUUUAGCCUCAUGAAAUUCCAAUCGUCCCUAUCAUGCACUUUUUGAAUAAUGUUAACUAUCAUUUGCAACCCACUUCACUUUCAAACUAUAUAAUUUGUAUAUUUAAAAGGCAUUUUACUUUCUUCGAGUAUAUUUCAUUUUUUUGUAUUAAAAUUGCAUUAUAUGUUUUUGCUAUGUAAUUUUUUGUAAUUUAGUCUAACAAUAUUAUUAAGAACAUAAACCAUUGACAUUGAUUAAAAAAUAGUUAAAAGAAAACUUAAUCAACAUAUUAACAACUAAUAUCAAAUAAACCUCAAACCUACAUAGAAAUGAUUGUCCCUCUAUAUUUGUUCAUGAAACCAAAUUUCAAAAAGACUAUUAGUUGUUAAUAUAUGUUUCUUGAUUUUUGAAAACGCUAUUUCUAAGAUGGAUCUAAUUAAUAAAAACAUGAAAGGGUCCUAUUAUUCUGCCUCCCCCCUUAAAAAACCCUUAUUCACGUGCUUUUUUUGUUUCCUUUCAUCCACUUGCCGUUUUUUCUCCAAUCAACUUACUAUUUGGAGCUCAUGGUCCCUGUACUUUCAACAAUUGUUAAAAUACACCCAAAUGUAGUUUUCCUUUGUAUAUCUUCUUCAAAAUUCAUCACAUCACUCGACUAUUAACUUCUUGUAUAUCUUCAUGAAAAUUCAUCACAUCACUUGCCUAUUAUCUUCUUGAAACGUCUUAUAACUUUUUAAGAUAAAAAACAUAGUACCCUUAAAUUAAUGAACUUGAUACUCUCUUUUCAUUCCUUCCCCUUUUUUAUUUUUACGGCUAUAACUAGUUUUGUCAAAAACGUACAAAAAAAAUAUUCAUAACUUAUAGCUUUUGGCGACCACAUAAACAAAUUAAAACAUUUUUUGAAUUUCUUUUUGCUACCAGAUAAGCUAAUAAACACUUUUAUCGAAAAGUGCUCUUUAUUUUGAAACACAAUCCAAGCAUAAAACUUUAUGUGCAUUUGUUGACUUUUUUAAAAUAUUAAAUCCAGUUUCGGUUAAUACAUGUAGAAGCCUAAAGAAGAGUUAUUACUUGGCUUUAACAUAGCACAACAAAAAACGUACCACGACAAAAGGCGUCGCAAUUGAUGCCCCUUGUUGUCGCUAUUAGCGUCGUCUCUAUUGAUAUUCCGGCCACCGGUCAAUGUUUUUCUGGCUACUCUUCCUAGAAUCAGUAGUUGUCGCAAUUGGCCAAUGUCGUCCCUAAAUGUGUCAUUGCUAAUGUUUUUUUUUCUUUUUUUUGAAAAAACAAUUUAUUUAUGAUAUUAGUUUAUAUAUAUUAUAAAGUGCGGAUGUGAUAAAAAUACAUAAGUAAAUACAUACGACAUUACAUGAAACAUCAAAUAUACCACAUUACAUAAACUAUCUAAUAAAUCCGAAAUAAACAUCAAAUAUAUUGUCCAUAAACUAUCUAAUAAAUCCAAAAUAACAUAAUUCAUAACAUAAAACAAGAAAUAUUAUGUGCCUUCGUCUUCCCCAUCAUUGUUUUCCUCGUUGUUGAAGCUAAGAAUGGAACUAUGGAUGGUGAACUUAGAGCAUGGCAUGAAUGAACAAUUGAUUUUUCUCCGAGGUGUGGUAAGAUAAUAUGGAUUGGGGAUGAACUAAAGCAAAUACACCCUAGAAAUGAAUCCAAGUUGUCCGAUCAUGAUCCGGUGAAGGCGAUAUUUUCUACCGAAGUUAAAGUCUCAAGAUAGAAUAUCAAAACCUUUGCAUUUUAGAUAGGUUUCCAUAACUAUUUUCGUUCGAAUAAUCAUUUUGUAUUAUUUAUUAGUAUAAGUUAUUUGUAAAUUAAAAAAUAUACAUAUUAUUUAAUCACGUACAACCCUUAUGUACGGCCUAUUCACAAUAGAUCGAGCCUUAUCAAUUAUUAAUUA